This is an RNA transcript of Cajanus cajan (pigeon pea), 1330 nucleotides long. It is a transcript of the gene named tropinone reductase homolog At5g06060, with no coding region annotated. The record is from RefSeq and is a predicted model, not a curated record. NCBI's taxonomy places the organism in Eukaryota, Viridiplantae, Streptophyta, Magnoliopsida, Fabales, Fabaceae.
UAUUGAUUCCAAUAACAAUCCAGUUUUAAAAGCAUUUAACUGUUGUUUUAAGAGCUCAAUACAUAUCAAGCAAUGGUAGGAUAUGCCUAGUUGUGUUGUGAGUUUUGAUUCAAGAAAUGGCAGAUGCAGAGAACAAUACUCACAAACCUCCGAGAUGGUCCCUUAAUGGAAUGACUGCUCUUGUCACCGGUGGAACUCGCGGAAUAGGGCAUGCCAUAGUGGAGGAGUUAUGUGGGUUUGGUGCCACUGUCCACACUUGUUCCAGAAACCAAACUGAGCUCGAUAGGUGUUUGACAAAAUGGCGCAGUGAGGGGUUUUUGGUUUCUGGGUCUGUCUGUGAUGUGUCAUCUCAACCCCACAGAGAGAAGCUCAUUCAGGAAGUCACUUCCCUCUUCAAUGGCAAGCUUAACAUUUAUGUGAACAAUGUUGGUGUAAACUAUAGGAAACCAACCAUUGAGUACAAUGCUGAAGACUAUUCACAGAUGAUGGCAGUCAAUUUAGACUCUGCUUACCAUCUGUGCCAACUUGCAUAUCCUCUUCUAAAGGCAUCUGGAAUGGGAAGCAUUGUGUUCAUUUCAUCUAUUGCUGGUGUGGUCAGUGUAGGUACUGGAUCCGUCUAUGCAGCAUGUAAAGCCGCAAUCAAUCAGCUUACAAAAUAUAUGGCUUGUGAAUGGGCUAAAGACAACAUAAGGAGCAAUUGUGUUGUUCCUGCCACUACCAAUACACCACUUGUUGAGCAUGUUCCAAAUGUUGUUCCAUGUGCCCAGGUUCGUGGAGAUGAUUUGAAUGGUCAUACGCUCUGUGACGUGGAUCUAAGUGGAUUUUACAAAGUAUAAGUCAUCUUUGCUGAGAUUUCAAAUGCAUUCAUCUUUGGCGGCAAUAAUAGCAUAGAGGUGCCAUUUGCUGAAGGUGCAGCUGAUGCAUUGUGCAUGCAGCGGCUGAAUCCAUGCAUCUAAGGCAUGGCUUCCUCGUGUCAUGCGGAUAUGUGUGGCCCUUUGGCUAACCAUGCCACGUAGCUCUGUCAUUUCCAUAGCUGUCCAUGAGUAUGAGCACAACCACAAGACUAGCUUGAAGAAAUUGGAGCACGUUGGAGUUUGUGACACACCACUUAUUUCUGUAUUUAUCUUAUAUUUUAUGUCGUUUCUGCAUGCACUAGUACUAGUUUAAUGAAACACUUGUGUUGCAAGUUGCAGCAACAUUAAAUAGCUGACAUUCCAUUGCCCUUUGCCGCCUGCCGAGUCAUGUUUACUAACAAGACACGAAUUCGCAUUGCAAUGACACUAAGUUCAACAUGCAAUGAAUAACGUGGAUGUAUUGUUAUUUUCUCUGA